UUGCCAAUCUUCCAAAAAAUAGCUAUAAUUUUGGUUCAUUCACACCAGACAGCCAUUGUUCUGUUGGCUGUUUUCAUUUUUUCAUUUGACAGUCUAAGGGAAAAGAGGUCAGUGCCUCUGACUAAAUAGGUAUUACACGUUUUAAAAAUCCUGUGGCACACCAGUUGAAAAUCGCUGUCCUAGUGCAUCGUGCCAAAGCACCCAAGAAUGCCCCUGAGGAAGCCCGAGAGGAAGGCAGGAGUGCAGAGGGCAGUGAGACGGCCAUCAGGACAUGCUGGUGACUGGGGAGUGAGUAAAUGAGUGAAUGCCAUUCCUGGAUUUACACCAUGAUCAGGAUUUUCUCCAAGAAAGUCUAACAUCAUUUUAGAGAGAAUGAAAAUAGGAAGUUUCUUUUUAGUUCAAUGUCUAAAAUUUAUUUUUAUUUACGGCAGUGAGCUUUUUUUAGGAAAGUUGGGAAGGCUUAUUUAAGCUGGAGCAAAGUUAAGAUUCUAACCCAGCAAAGAUCACUUUUGAUUGUUUUGUACCAUUUGAAAAUGUUUAUAUUACCAGAAUCACAGAAUUGCAGGACUGGGAGGUCCUUAGUUCCGUUUCUAGGAAGUUAUUGUACGGAUGCACAAGGACACGGACAUACGGAUUAAACGUGGACAGAUAUCCACCUCAGCAUUGCUGGUAACAACAAUGACAAUUUCUAAAGCCACGAAAUCCAAAAUGUCCAUCUGCAGUGGUUAAGGGAUUAUAGUACAUCUAUUUAUGCAACUGGUAAAAAGAAUUAGGGACAGGUGUGUAGGAUAUAUCAUUAGGUAAAUAAGGCAAGCUGCAGAAUGUGUGUGUGUGUAUAUUAUAUAUGAUAAAUGUAUAUGAUAUAUACAUAAUGAUCUUGUGUAAAAGUCACAAAUGUUUUAAAUAUUCUUAUAAAUGCUCGGCAAAGUUCUGAGAAAACACCCAAGAACCUGAGGCCUACUAAGUUCUCACUUUUACCCUUUGAACAGUUUGACUGUCUUUCAAUAAGCACACGUUCUUGAUCACUUAAAAAAAGUCACCUCAUCUUAUACACUGACUACUGAAGUAUCCCCACCAAGUGGUUACCCUGGCUUUCCUAGAACACUUCCAGUGACGGAGAACUCAUUACCUCUUAACUAUCAGACAGUGUUUUGACCAGUACCCCUCCCGCUGAAGAUGGUAAUUCUUUUCUAUUUAGAUAUGGCCUAGGAACCCAGGGGCCAGAUCCAUCGGUCUUGUCUUGAGGGCCCUGGAGAAGGCAGGCACACAAUUUUGAUGGAUAAUUCUUGGUAAUUUUUCAGUUUAAAAAAAUUUUGAUUAUAUAAACAGAAACUAGUUGGAGUACAUAUGUCUUCUGGGAAAAGUCUUCAAGAUACUAGAAGAAGAAAAUAAAAGACUUUCCAGGAUGCCAUUUUAAGGAGGAUAUGAAGAGUGUGGAUAACAAAAGGGCCUUGUUUUCCAGGAACCCGAUAUGUAGAUGGGGGUGGGGGUGCCAUGCACACUUGAGCGUGCAUGAAUGAAAGCACUGUUAAACACCAGGGGAAGGAAAAACCGGUGAAUGCCAACUGGAGUGCAAUGAUGUUGACUGGAUCCACAGGGACGCUGGUUGGAGAUAAUGGACUCAGCCUGGGUUUUGAGAAAUGGAGAGAGGGAUGAUGCCCGAAGGAAGACUCGUGCCCACACAAUGUGUCCCCGGGGCCUUCUUGCUGGGCCCCAGCAGCAGUCCUGCGGACUCACCGUGGCAAGUCAGCACGCCUGGGCCGGUGCACCCAAGAAUGUGAUAAAUAUUCAAGCACACCUCUGGCAUCCCACCCUCCCCACUAGGAGACUGGAGCCAAGAACCAAGCAUACCUUCUUCCUCUAUUCCUGCAAAAUAAAGUUUGUG
Long non-coding RNA from Phyllostomus discolor (pale spear-nosed bat), 1885 nucleotides. RefSeq lists it as uncharacterized. The record is from RefSeq and is a predicted model, not a curated record. The transcript is spliced from 3 exons. Lineage: Eukaryota; Metazoa; Chordata; Mammalia; Chiroptera; Phyllostomidae.